Drosophila mojavensis is the source of this 1153-nucleotide long non-coding RNA. RefSeq lists it as uncharacterized. The transcript is spliced from 3 exons. The record is from RefSeq and is a predicted model, not a curated record. NCBI's taxonomy places the organism in Eukaryota, Metazoa, Arthropoda, Insecta, Diptera, Drosophilidae.
GUAAGUGCAAACAUUUAAAUUUUUGUACACCGCUACUUGUGCGCACAUUCACAUACGUGCAGACAUGCAUAUGUUCCUGUUUGAGAGAGCAGAGCAGAGAGUAAGCUCGAAAAUUGUGCACAGCGGCUCUUCAUUUCACAAUCAACCAUGUCGGCCGAGCGCUCGACGCGUUGUGAAGGACCCCAUGUCCUUCUUGGCUUGUUGUUGAUCGAGGCUGAAAGUAAGGAACACGAACAAGCACGAAGCUGAGUUGGUGCUGCCACAGAUGCUUGUCUCGAUGUUGGAUGGUUGGUGUCCGUAGGCAAUGGAAAUUCACGAAAGAGGUGUCGGCGUCCUUGUUUAUCAUAAGGCAGAGAAACAGAGCGAGAUACAUACAAUAUACACGGAAGGAGAACAAAUCAUUCCCGAUGGCGUCUAUUUCAAAAGGGGGGUUGUUGAUGGCUUGGGGCAAACAACUGACGUAAAGGUCGCGCUGGACUGCCAAGCAUCCCACCUAGAAAUGUGCAUACAUACAUAUGUACAUACAUAUAUGUUUAUGUAUGUGCUUGUGCAAAAACUGACUAGUCUUAUACAAUAAGAAGCAGCGGGAACUCUAUUGGAUCAAACAUAAGUUGAUGGCGUUGUUGCGUCGUUUCUGCGGAAACAAGUCUACAAACAAACGCGCAUACUUGUGCUUUCCCCUGUCUAUGUUGCCUGUAAUCUGUUGUAUCCUGCAAUAUAGAGUUCAACUUUGACAUUUACAGAAGGAAAAUACACAUAGCGCAUGCUCCUCCACUCUGGAGUGGAGUACAGACCACACAUAUUUAAAUGUAAACAUAUAUAUAUAUAUGCAUAUAUACACUUAUAGCAUGCUUAAAGGACGCUAGACAAAGAACCCGCCAAAAUUCAAAUAUUUGCUUUCUUUGGUUCAGAAAAAUUAUCGAUACAAAUAAACACAUAUCUGUUUUUCAUUCGUAUAGAACAAAAUUGCGCGCCAAGCUUGAAAUAUUUUAAAAGCAAACGCAAAUUAUUUGUUAAAUGCGCAAUAAUAAUAUGUAUAAUAAAUGUCUUAUGAAAUAAUGUGAAAGUUUUCUAGAAUUACACUGAAUUAGGAACAUAUGACGCAUGUAUUUUAAUUAAUUUUAUUAAUAUAAGAAUUUUAAGAUAAUUACAU